Erythranthe guttata (spotted monkey flower) is the source of this 356-nucleotide non-coding RNA. The record is from RefSeq and is a predicted model, not a curated record. NCBI's taxonomy places the organism in Eukaryota, Viridiplantae, Streptophyta, Magnoliopsida, Lamiales, Phrymaceae.
CUUGUCUCUUUCACCACUGCUUCUCUUGGUAAUUAUUUUCAGCCGCAAUUGCUAAGUUGUAAGUUAAAUGUUUUACCUUGCUAUUUAUCUUCAUCCAAGUUCUCUUCUUUAGAUUUAAAUGCUAUCUAAGUGAGGCGCAUAAAAGUCGAGCACAAUUAUCUGCUGGAGAGAAGGUCGGCAACUCGGCAAUGCACUUACAGAAUAUAAUUGAAGUUUUUUAUUCUAUGUUGCAAGCUGUCAGAAGAUUAUUAGUAAUUAGUAGGCCAUUUGUAGUGCACAUUUAUAAAAUUGUCUGCUGACUUAUUAUGUAUGAUAAUUUUAUUGGUAAAUAUUAUAUAAAUAUUUGCAUUGAGCUA